GGGGGCAAGCGUUAUCCGGAUUUACUGGGUGUAAAGGGAGCGUAGGUGGCAAGGCAAGUCAGAUGUGAAAACCCGGGGCCCAACCCCGGGAGUGCAUUUGGAACUGUGUAGCUGGAGUGCAGGAGAGGUAAGCGGAAUUCCUGGUGUAGCGGUGAAAUGCGUAGAUAUCAGGAGGAACACCAGUGGCGAAGGCGGCUUACUGGACUGUAACUGACGUUGAGGCUCGAAAGCGUGGGGAGCA
This 241-nucleotide ribosomal RNA is filed under the name uncultured bacterium. Its description in RNAcentral is "partial 16S ribosomal RNA". It matches the Rfam family "Bacterial small subunit ribosomal RNA", at positions 530 to 770 of the family's 1533-position model. The record is from RNAcentral.